UGAUGGCAAGUUCUUGGUAUGGCUUCCUAUCCUCAAGAAGUUCAAGUGGAGAUUCCUUACAAAAAGUUCCAGCAAAGUGGAUUAAAAGAUUCUGUAUGGCCAAUUGUUAUUCUUGCUGCCCUUAUAAUUGAUCACAAACCUAGGGGAAGAGGAGGUCACUUUACCUGUGAUAUUGUCUAAACAAAUCCACGGAGGGAUCUUGAGCUGUUUAAUCGUGGCACUGUCAUUUGGUUUGGAGCAUCUAUGACAUGUCUUGCACUUCGCCUGCUGUUAAAUGGGAUGGAGAAGUAGAAGAUGUAUUCCCUGGCUUCAAAGGUGAUGUAAUACAUUUUUGGGGGGAAAAAAGUAUCAUAAUUUUAAUCCCAAGUAAAGAGGGGUUUGAAACACUGGUAUGUACAGGCUGACAUACCUACAAUGAACA
Prionailurus viverrinus (fishing cat) is the source of this 421-nucleotide long non-coding RNA. RefSeq lists it as uncharacterized. Lineage: Eukaryota; Metazoa; Chordata; Mammalia; Carnivora; Felidae. The transcript has 3 exons. The record is from RefSeq and is a predicted model, not a curated record.